UUGAGGUUUGGCAAAUUACCACUUCUGAGUUGAUUACCUAGAAAUCGGUGUUUCCAUUAAAAAAAUCAGUUCUUUCUCUGACAACAAACUCAAAUAUCUGAACUCAACUCAGUAUCAACAGUUUAGAAAUCUCAGAUUGAAAGAAAUGAAUCAGAAAUCUCUUCAACUCACUCACUUGUAGAAUAAAAGUUUUGAGUUAUAGAUCGGUGUUUAAAUCCUCAAUCAAAGAACGUUAUCUAACUUUAAAUCGACAAAUUAAGCAAGAAAAUCUCUUCAACCUCUUCGAUUACUUUUAUUCUUACUAAUUUUCUUCAUCAAUCACUUCAAAGUUUAAACACAAAUCAAAUCUUCUCUUUCUUUCAUUUCAAACAUAAAUCAAUCUUCAGAAAAACUAUAAGACCAGUAAGAAGUAUUACAUGCUUUGAAUGAAUCAGUAAACUAGAUAGAUUUUCAAAACGAGCUGAUGAGAGAGAGAAAGAGAGAGUUAAGUGAAGUGGAGAAGAAGAUAAAACGGCAGAGAGAGAGAUAGAUUAAGAAAGAGAAGAGGAAAUUGCAGGUUUUUGGAAACAGGAAUCUGUUAAAUGAAGAGAUGAGGUUCGGG
RNAcentral lists this long non-coding RNA (601 nucleotides) under Aquilegia coerulea. Its description in RNAcentral is "long non-coding RNA (ACOE_LNC000085)". Lineage: Eukaryota; Viridiplantae; Streptophyta; Magnoliopsida; Ranunculales; Ranunculaceae. The record is from RNAcentral.